This 252-nucleotide ribosomal RNA is filed under the name uncultured bacterium. RNAcentral describes it as "partial 16S ribosomal RNA". It matches the Rfam family "Bacterial small subunit ribosomal RNA", at positions 355 to 598 of the family's 1533-position model. The record is from RNAcentral.
UAGGGAAUCUUCCACAAUGGACGCAAGUCUGAUGGAGCAACGCCGCGUGAGUGAAGAAGGUUUUCGGACCGUAAAGCUCUGUUGUUGGUGAAGAAGGAUAGAGGUAGUAACUGGCCUUUAUUUGACGGUAAUCAACCAGAAAGUCACGGCUAACUACGUGCCAGCAGCCGCGGUAAUACGUAGGUGGCAAGCGUUGUCCGGAUUUAUUGGGCGUAAAAGCGAGCGCAGGCGGAAGAAUAAGUCUGAUGUGAA